GAAUGACUUUUCUUAAAAAAAAAUAUAUAUAAGUUUUAUGUGGAAAUAGGAGAGUAUGAUUAUGAUUUUUGACUUUAGCUUCAUGUAUUUAUUUUUGCAAAUUUUCUUCUCUGGCCUUUUAUUUUCUUGCCACCAGUGACAGUGUCAUUGUCAUAAUAUAGUUUACUUGUCUUAGAGGAUCUAUAUAAAGAGGUUGCUUCUAAGACUGAAGAAGGUUUUAAUUUGUCCAGCAAAUUUCAUCUGUGUAUAAUAUCUGAGUGACCUUCAAUGUCACUACUAACUAUACUUAGUAGUGAUAUAGUUGAUUUCUUUUUAGGUGUCUAUGUCUUUAUGGGUAAUGUUACCUACAAUAAAUCUUUGUGGUCCGGACCUUUUUCGGACUCUACACAUAACGGGAGCUUAGUAUACCGAGUUGCCCUUUCUUAUAUUUUGUUUUAGCUGGUAAAAUUGAUAUCAUGUGACUAGGAAAUCACGGGUUCAAGCCGUGGAAACAGCCUCUUGUCAGAAAUGCAGAGUAAGGCUGCGUAUAGUAAACCCUUUUGAUCCGGUCCUUUUCCAAACCUCGCGCAUAGCGGGAGAUUAGUGUAACGGGCUUCCUUUUUUUAUGUUUUGAUGGGUUGAGUUACUCGUUUAUUAUAUUAAUGAAAAGUAAUAAAUAUCUGAUGAAAUAAUUAAAAUACACACAAGUUGGUCUAAAUUACAGUCAUAAAGACAAAUGGUUAUGUGAGAAAAUCUUUAUAUAUGCCAGGCUGUGUUCAGUUGAUUCAACGCUAGGUAACCUGUCGUUGUCUGACACGUGUGCUGAUGUUACCACGUGGAGGGACCAGAGUGGCCUAUAUAUUCAACUAGGUUGGAUUUUGUUUAAACUAUAAGUAGUCUUUUUCAGUUUUGUCAAUGUUAAAUUUAUGGUCAUUUUUUAUUGUUUGGCACAUGGAGGAUAGGUCAUUAACAAAUCAUAAGGGCAACAAAUAGGAUACUGUUAUGAAAUAUAACUCAAAAUAACAAUACGAAAUUUGGAAAUAAAGGCAAAGUAGUAAAAUAUGAAGAAG
This 1049-nucleotide long non-coding RNA is filed under the name Nicotiana benthamiana. RNAcentral's name for it is "long non-coding RNA (NBEN_LNC029391)". The record is from RNAcentral. Lineage: Eukaryota; Viridiplantae; Streptophyta; Magnoliopsida; Solanales; Solanaceae.